This 167-nucleotide ribosomal RNA is filed under the name Arceuthobium oxycedri. RNAcentral describes it as "5.8S ribosomal RNA". It matches the Rfam family "5.8S ribosomal RNA". From Rfam's summary of the family: 5.8S ribosomal RNA (5.8S rRNA) is a component of the large subunit of the eukaryotic ribosome. It is transcribed by RNA polymerase I as part of the 45S precursor that also contains 18S and 28S rRNA. The record is from RNAcentral. Lineage: Eukaryota; Viridiplantae; Streptophyta; Magnoliopsida; Santalales; Viscaceae.
UAAUGACUCUCAACAACGAAUAUCUUGACUCUCGCAUCGAUGAAGAACGCAGCGAAAUGCGACACAUAGUGUGAAUUGCAGAAUCCCGUGAAUCAUCAAAUCUUUGAACGCAAGUUGCGCCUAAAACCAAUUUUAGGUUUAGGGCAUGCUUGCUUGGGUGUCGAGUG